This is a long non-coding RNA of Alexandromys fortis (reed vole), 6543 nucleotides long. RefSeq lists it as uncharacterized. NCBI's taxonomy places the organism in Eukaryota, Metazoa, Chordata, Mammalia, Rodentia, Cricetidae. The record is from RefSeq and is a predicted model, not a curated record. The transcript is spliced from 4 exons.
GGCGCGCUGCUGCGGGGCUGGGCUCCGGCCGGGAGUCGGUGGAGGGAGCAGGGAGGGAGCGCGCGCGCGCGCCCGGACCGUCCACCGCAGCCGCUCGUCCCAAGCCUUCUCCCUGGUCGCGUUGCCCGCAACCGCCUCGACCUUCUUGCGCGCCCUGUUCGCGGGCUCUCAGGCUCUGGAACUCAUGCGUCCAUAGCGUGGCUAGACAGCCCUAGGAAUCGCAUUUCUGCAGGCAGCCCUAACCAGCUGCCGCCACAAAGGUGAGUAUAAAUCCCAGCUCCUUCGCUGUGGGGCUAGAGCAUUCUGGGGCAUGCAGUUUGAAGUUGCUCAGAAUUCCCCUUGUGAUCCAGCAGCAACCUUCACUGUGGGGCUGAUGUAAUGGGAUCCCCUUUACGGUGAGCCACCACUUCCUGUCCUUGUCUCUCUUCUCAGUUCCCCCGCACUUUCCACAUCUCAACCAACCACUGCCAAGUGCUUGAUUCUGGGUCUUUUGGUGGGGGUCUUCCAUUCCAAAAUGAUUUGUACACUUUUCCAAGGCAGAAGUCUAAAUUUAGUUUUGCCAAAAUCACUGUGCACCCUGAGUUAACAAGACACAUUUUGGCAAAUACCUGGGCAAACAUUUGGAGUUAAGCUCAUGGCAAAUGCAUACCUAUUAGAAUGUUGCCCUUUGGAGGGGUAGAGUAGGGCCAUGGCCACGUGUUCCCUUCCUCAUUCCUCCUCCUACAGUACACAGCAUGGCCAGUUUGUAUUAGAGCACACUGUGCUAUGCUCACUGUGAACAUGUGCUUCUGAGCAUGGAUAGGCCCCCAGUGACUACUCCUACCUGCUUUAUUCUGGGUGGGUGGGCAGGUGGGUAAUUGGUUGGUUGGUCAGUUGGUUUGGUUUGGACUGGUCUGGAAUACAUUGUAUAGUUCAGGUGAACCUCAGACUCACAGACGUCUUCUUCCUCAAGCCACCUGAAUGCUAGGAUUCCACGUGUGAACCCCCAUCCUCAGCCUUCUCUUCUAUUUACAGGCCUCCCAGAUGGAAGCUGUUUUCUAGCACCAGCCACCUUUCUGGUCUGAGAAAACCCUGUCCUCCCAUAUUUCCCACUAGUGGGGAAACUCAGUUCACCCUUAAAUUACCUUAAGAAAGUAAGCAUGCUCCUUGUAGCCCCUCCCAGCACACCAGUCUGUCCCUUGGCAGUCUGAGGCCCAAACGACACAUCCAGCUAGGCCACUGUCCUUUCUACAUCUCCUUCCUUGCUUCGUGUCAUCAUCUCUGGGUGCUCAAACACACAGUACACCAACGGAAGCUAUGUGACUCUGUUUCAGAGCAGAUUAGCUUUGGGGAAAAAUGCAAUCCUGGCAGAAGACAAUUAAUUCAUUUGAUUCCACACACAUGGUGCCCUUUCUGCCUCACACAUAGGCAGUUCCUCAAGAGCGGCUUGUUUUUGUUUUUAAACACACACACACUGUAUAGCCGUUUGUGCUGAGCAACAAGAACCCAGACAAAGAAGCCAUGGCCGUGUUCUUAUUUACAGAGGUUGCCGGAUGAGAAAUUAAUGCCUGCUGUUGCUCAGUAAUUGGGAAAAUUUAGGGCCCUGGUGCUCCAGCAUCUUCCAUUUAAGGUUGUAUGUUAUCUGUGUUUUCAUGAGAAUUUGUUGGAUUUCUGCCAUUAAUAACAGGCAUAAACCCAGCAAACAGCAAGACAUGCGUUACAUUUAAUCAAUUUGCUCUUUGUAUUCAUUAUGCAUGUCCUCCAUUUUGAGUCAUGAAAAAUUGAAAGGCCAUUGCAAAAAGAAAGAGGAUCGUGGAUUACAAAUGAUGUAACAAAAGCAGAAGUGCUAUUAAUUGGUCAGUUGUGCUUGUCAGCCCAUUUAAAGUGAUGAAGGCCGAAAGAUUAGAAAGGACAUGAAUGUGUGUGGGAGCAGGGGUCCAGGAACACUGGGGUCCCUUCAGUCCUCAGAGCCCAGAAGAAUACAACAGAACCAAAUGAUGUUCAUUCCGAUUUCAUUCAACAAAUAAUGCAUGAGCACUUUCUAUGUGCUUUAGGCUGUGGUAACUCCAGCAGAAAGCAGUGGAAGUGCAGCCUGUGACCUCAGGGUGACAUUCCAGUGUGCUCAGAACAGAUGGGUGUACCCUGCGAUUCCCACAGUGUAAGCCACAAAACCCAACAGGAGGUCAGGGAGCACAAAGUGAUGGCCUUGGGAGAAGGUCUCUUGAAAGUAACAUCUGAAAGGAGGUUAAAAUGAAGGAUGAAAAGGUUUGUGUCUGUCACACCACCACCACCCCCCUCCCCCGUCUCCUUCCACCAUUCAAGAAAAGAGAAUUUCUGUAUUGAUAGCUCCUGAGAUAUGAGAUGACGUUUCUCAGGAUCUCAGAUUUCACAGUGGUGAGGAAGGGAAGCACGAGGUAGGUUUAAUCUUUGCUUGGACUGUUGUAUGGCCCCACCCUCCCUCAUGCAGCAGCAGUGGCCCACAGCGUGGCCAACCACAUCACCACAAAUGCACAUGGAUGUUCUUCUGAGCUUUCUGGACGCAAGCUUUCAAGAAAUCCCAUGAGACACUCAACACUUUCCUAAAAGUAGUCUGUGUGGGAGAGCUCGCCCCAGUGUUAGGCUAAUGCAGUUUUCUGAGCAUAGGGUAAGACAGGAGCCAGGAGUCCUAUGGGUUGAGUAUACUAAAGGCAUUCUUGGGACAUUCUUAACCUACACUGUUUUAUUGGGAUGUAACUCCAUCACAGACUGACAUAGGAGGCUUUGUUUUUGUUUUGUUUACUUAUGGGAUUUGGUGAAACACAACCCAAUGGAUGGCUCCCAAGACGAGAAAUCUCACCCUAUCAGUUUUCUUGUGUGGAACCUUCUGUGGUAGCAGUUUGGUUCAGUUGACAGUGAGUUGGUUGGCCCACCAAGCUAGGGCCCCAGGAAGACCUGCUGGUCGGUAGCUCUCAAGACCAUGCUCUUUCCUAUGAAGUACAGUUCUGCAUGCUGCAAUCACCCAGAGCUUGAAACAUGCCUGUGCCUAAGAUGCUUGGGCAGAAAGUGAGCUAAGGAUGGUGCUGAACACUGGUCUGUGUUUGGAAGAACUUGAGUGAAUCUCACGUGCAGCCAGGCUGGGAAGUACCAGUGUAUUCAGGGCCUCAAGCAAGACUCCUUGCUUCUAAGAAUGAUGGCGCUUCCUUUCUCCUUGUGGUUGGCCACCUUCUGUUUGGCUCCUAUAGUUGCUAUGUUUGUCACAUCAAUCCAGAGGAGCAAAGUCAUGAACAAACUCUCAGAGAGAUAUUCCUGAGCUUAGCCUGGAGAGGCACACAUCACUGCUGCUCAAAUGUCACUGUUCAGAACUCCGUCCUCGGUAUGUAUGUAUGUAUGUAUGUAUGUAUGUAUGUAUGUAUGUAUAUACAUACAUACACAUAUUUAUAGAACAGAUGAUAGAUAAUUAUUUUUAUUUUAUAAAAUAAUGUAUGGGUGUCUCACCUGCAUGUAUGUCUGUGCAUCAUGUGCAUGCCUGGUGCCUAUUGCCUGCAGAGAUCAGAGAGGGUGUUGGGUCCCCUAGAAUUGUAGUUACAGAUAGUUGUGAGCCACCAUGUAAGUGUUGAGAAUCACACUCAGGUCCUCUGGAAGAGCAACCAAUGUUCUUGACCCCUAAACGAUCUCUGGUCAGCCCUCUGGGAAUAUUUUUGACAUGGAAAUUAGGGUUCUUUCCAUUGCACGGGACAGAAAGGGUCCACCAAUAUUAAGCAAGAUAGGAAGGCCCUGGCUCAUGUGUGCAAGACUGGGUCACAUGACCCAGACUUCUAAAUCUUCCCAGAGGUACCUGGGUUGCAUGUCACCCAUGUCCUCCACGGAAGAUCUCAGACAGACUCCCCCACAACUCAGUAUAGCUGCCAACAACUCCUGGCUUAAGUUUUCAUUUGUCACCCUGAGGGAGAAUUCCUCUCCAUAAACGUUCCAUAGUAUAUAUUUUUGGCACUAAGUCCUAGUUCCCGUGUCCCUGAGUCAACCAUGUGACCAAAAAGAUGGUGCCCUCUAGUAAUCCAAGCAUGGGCCGUGGAAACCCUGGAUUUGAGAGAGGCCUGUUCCAUGUAGCGCAUACAAGCUAAAGCCACAUGGGCAGCUCCCAGAGAGCCGACAUACUGCUGGCUUCUGAUGGGAAGGACUUGUGCCAGGCAAGCCUGGGCUGACACCUUCCAUCAAUUUUCCUCAUGCUGGCUGUGGGCAGGGCUGAGGAAGCAGAAGGGUCUCCUCACCUGGCCUCCUGGUGUGCUCUCCAGCCCCACUUCACACUGAUCAUGUGACAGCACAACUCCCCGGGUUCCCAUUAGAAGGCAAGGAUUAUGUUUGGCCCCUUUGCAUAGACUCCAUCAGCAGUCUUUCCCCCAAUGUUUUUACACCAUCCCGCAAGGCUCGAUAGAGCAUGCCUCCAGCCACCAGGGACCUUAGCAGAUAACAACUUAAAACCUGCCUGACCUCAAGAACCCAUGGACCAGGAAAUCAUCAUUCUGUGUGUAUGACUAUUAUAUGUGUAAGUGUGAAGGCCUUCACUACAUUACCCAGGGAGGAUCAUCCCAAAGGGGGCCAGCAGCACCAGGUGCACCUCCUCCAGCAUCCAUAUGACUGCUUCAAGUAUAGAAGUCCAUGCACCAUUUUGCAUUCUGGAGAAGCAUGAAGCUUUGGACCAACCUGAGAUGAUAGCUUUGUCAACAUUUCUCAAAGUGGACUCCUUGUUACAGAAAAUGCAGCAGUUUGUUUUCAUUCCUUCAAGGAAAUGCCUGAGGCUGGCUACAUUGUAAAGAAAAAGGAUUCAGUUCCCAAUUCCAGAGGCCUGGGCCUAAGACACAUCAAGAAAAUGCCAGCUCUGGCAAAGAAUCCUGGCCUCAUCACAUGCAGAUGGCAUCAAGGCACAAACGUGUUGUGAGGAGAGUAUGCGCACAGAUGGACCAGAAGUCAGGCUGGGAAUGGCUAAAUUCACUCUUAAAACAGCUUCCUUUAGCAAGAACUAAGUCGCGCCAGAACCACCUUAGUCCCUUCUGGGACCAGUGACCCACUGACCUCCUCUUAGGUUCCACCUCUUAUAGGACACAUCAUCUCUUAAGAUCACCAUACUGGAGACCGGAUUUCUAACACAUGAACACUUAAGGGGAUACACCACAUCAAACCGUAAUCAGAUGAGACAUUAUAUCCUGAGAGAAACUCAAGCAUUUGAUGUUCAUGCCAGUUGGGGAGAUGCUGGGCUAACUGGUUAGGAUUUUUUUCUGCAGGACUUAGCCAAGCCUAAGUGUGAUGUGUUUUGUGACUUUGAACAGUGGUUCCCAGCCUUCCUGACGCUGCAGCCCCCUUUUUGUUAUUCUCUCCUACAAUACGUCCCUAUUGCAUUCCCCGCCCCACUCCUCCCAGCCACCCCACCUCCCUUUUCCCCAUAUCCACUUAUCCUCUGUUUCCCUUAUGCAGCAACACUUUAAUACAGUGCCUCAUGUUAUGGUGACCCCCAAACAGAAAAUGACUUUUGUUGCAACUCCAUAACUGUAAUUGUGCUAUUGUGAUGAAUCAUAAUGCUCAUCUUUGUUUUCCAGUGGUCUUAGGAGACCCCUGUGAGAGGUCAUUAGACCCCCCCCCUCAAAGGGUCAGGACCCACAUCUGAGAAACAUUGUUCAAGAAAGAAGCAAACUAGAGUCAGCUGUGCUCCUCAGCUCUACUUAACAAAGCCCCGUUUGUUUGUAGCUUCCUAUGAAACGUCUCCCAAGACAUGGAUUUAUGGAUUGUUCUCCUGGGAACUGCGUCCUUGGAGAAUACAUGCAAAUGGCGGCCACUGGGUUCAUGCUGCUUUGAAGGGGUCAGGUGGUAGGAAUCUUAAGAGUUCCCAGAGGAGGUGAUAUUUGGGGGUUUUAGCAGAAAGCGUUCUCUUUGCCUGAAUUAGAACAAAUGAGGUGUCAGUGUUUUUUACAAAGCUGGUGGCAUCUCAGGGUGUCUGGAAACGGAGAGGUGCUAGACAGAGGGACACUGGAGCUUGCAUGUCUCUGGCUGAGUCUCUGUCAUUCAGAAGGUGUGCAGCCUUGGGCAGCUCGCUGGAUUCUUCCAGGCUUCUCCUGCCUGAGAAGAUGAACUCUGACCAGGGAGGGAAUGGGCAAUGUCUGGGAAGUGAAAGUGCCCACCCGUGGCUGAGAUGAAUGUUGCUCUUGGCGUCUUUUACCUCACACCCACCUACCUAUCCCAUAGGGGCCUUGCUGGUGGUCUGGAAACCUCUAGAAGAGCUACCCCCUUUCUGCUGCCCUCUUGUGGCGGCUGAGAUGGUAGCAUGGGACCAUGAUUUCUUCCCAUCUACACCAGCAUCUUCCUGCAUCUUCCUGAGGACAUUGGCACCUUGGGCCGACAAGCAAUAUGGAAACAGAUGCGGAGGCCCCACUGUUUGCUGACAUAGACUGUCCUUCAGGUCACCCUCUGUGAUAUGUCACCAAGGGGGAGCCAAUCCUCAUGUGCCUGCCCUAUCGGAGUCAGCUCCUGCCUGCAUCUGUCACUGCUGAUUGCAUUUGAAUGGCUUUGUCUCUGUUUUAAAUAAAAGAUUUAUGC